ACGGGGGAUGCAAGCGUUAUCCGGAUUUAUUGGGUUUAAAGGGUGCGUAGGCGGUUUGAUAAGUCAGCGGUGAAAUAUUUCAGCUUAACUGAAAGGGUGCCGUUGAUACUGUCAGGCUUGAAUAUGGUUGAUGUAGGUGGAAUGUGUGGUGUAGCGGUGAAAUGCUUAGAUAUUGGACGGAAUACCAAUUGCGAAGGCAGCUUACAGAGCUAUAAUUGACGCUGAUGCGCGAAAGUUAGGGGAGCGAACGG
This 251-nucleotide ribosomal RNA is filed under the name uncultured prokaryote. RNAcentral's name for it is "partial 16S rRNA". It matches the Rfam family "Bacterial small subunit ribosomal RNA", at positions 525 to 775 of the family's 1533-position model. The record is from RNAcentral.